UACGUAGGGUGCGAGCGUUGUCCGGAAUUAUUGGGCGUAAAGAGCUUGUAGGCGGUUUGUCGCGUCUGCUGUGAAAUCUCAAGGCUCAACCUUGAGCUUGCAGUGGGUACGGGCAGACUAGAGUGUGGUAGGGGAGACUGGAAUUCCUGGUGUAGCGGUGAAAUGCGUAGAUAUCGGGAGGAACACCAGUGGCGAAGGCGGCUUCCUGGCCUGUUCUUGACGCUGAGGCGCGAAAGCUAGGGGAGCAAACGGG
Molecule: ribosomal RNA, 253 nt
Filed under: uncultured bacterium
Lineage: Bacteria
Description: partial 16S ribosomal RNA
Rfam family: Bacterial small subunit ribosomal RNA
Source: RNAcentral